Molecule: ribosomal RNA, 987 nt
Filed under: Spiralomyces americanus
Lineage: Eukaryota; Fungi; Ascomycota; Dothideomycetes; Asterinales
Description: SSU rRNA
Rfam family: Eukaryotic small subunit ribosomal RNA
Source: RNAcentral
CUAUACUGUGAACUGCGAAUGGCUCAUUAAAUCAGUUAUCGUUUAUUUGAUAGUACCUUGCUACUUGGAUAACCGUGGUAAUUCUAGAGCUAAUACAUGCUAAAAACCCCGACUCACGGAGGGGUGUAUUUAUUAGAUAAAAAACCAAUGCCCUCCGGGGCUACUUGGUGAUUCAUGAUAACUUAACGAAUCGCAUGGCCUUGCGCCGGCGAUGGUUCAUUCAAAUUUCUGCCCUAUCAACUUUCGAUUGUAAGGUAUUGGCUUACAAUGGUAUCAACGGGUAACGGAGAAUUAGGGUUCGAUUCCGGAGAGGGAGCCUGAGAAACGGCUACCACAUCCAAGGAAGGCAGCAGGCGCGCAAAUUACCCAAUCCCGACGCGGGGAGGUAGUGACAAUAAAUACUGAUACAGGGCUCUUUUGGGUCUUGUAAUUGGAAUGAGUACAAUUUAAAUCCCUUAACGAGGAACAAUUGGAGGGCAAGUCUGGUGCCAGCAGCCGCGGUAAUUCCAGCUCCAAUAGCGUAUAUUAAAGUUGUUGCAGUUAAAAAGCUCGUAGUUGAACCUUGGGCCUGGCUGGCCGGUCCGCCUCACCGCGUGCACUGGUCCGGCCGGGCCUUUCCUCCUGGGGAUCCGCAUGCCCUUCACUGGGUGUGCCGGGGAACCAGGACUUUUACUUUGAAAAAAUUAGAGUGUUCAAAGCAGGCCUUUGCUCGAAUACAUUAGCAUGGAAUAAUAGAAUAGGACGUGCGUCCCUAUUUUGUUGGUUUCUAGGGACGCCGUAAUGAUUAAUAGGGAUAGUCGGGGGCAUCAGUAUUCAAUUGUCAGAGGUGAAAUUCUUGGAUUUAUUGAAGACUAACUACUGCGAAAGCAUUUGCCAAGGAUGUUUUCAUUAAUCAGUGAACGAAAGUUAGGGGAUCGAAGACGAUCAGAUACCGUCGUAGUCUUAACCGUAAACUAUGCCGACUAGGGAUCGGGCGAUGUUAUUAUC